UCAGACGAUGCGUCAUGCAUAUCAAUAAGCGGAGGAAAAGAAACUAACAAGGAUUCCCCUAGUAACGGCGAGUGAAGCGGGAAGAGCUCAAAUUUGAAAUCUUAAAGGGUUUCCCUUUACGAAUUGUAGUUUAAAGAAGUGUUUUCUGUGAGGUUUUGGUAAAAGUUCUUUGGAAUAGGACAUCAUAGAGGGUGAGAAUCCCGUAUUUGACCUUUACUUUCAACUUUGUGAUACACUUUCAAAGAGUCGGAUUGUUUGGGAAUGCAGUCCAAAAUGGGUGGUAAAUUUCAUCUAAAGCUGAAAUAUUGGCGAGAGACCGAUAGCGAACAAGUACCGUGAGGGAAAGAUGAAAAGAACUUUGAAAAGAGAGUUAAACAGUACGUGAAAUUGUCAAAAGGGAAGCGUUUGACACCAGUGUUGUUUUUCUGAAAAUCAAUUAAAGAACUGUUUAUGCUAAGCUGUUUAGACUUUAUCAGCUAUCUGUUUAGUUUUGAGCUUUUCUUUAAUGCACUUUUCAGUUAACAAGUCAACAUCAAUUUCUUUUGCUGUAAAAAAGCUUGAGGAAGGUGGCUUGAGAUUCGUCUUAAGUGUUUAUAGCCUCUUGCCUAUGCAGUCGGAGAGAUUGAGGUCUGCAGCGUAGAUCCUUCGGGGCUAAAUGCAUUUGUGCUAAGUUAUAGCAUUUUAUAGACAACUUGUUGACUAUGAUUUGUCUUGUAGCUUACUCGCUUAUGUUAUUUUACCUACGCUUAGGAUGUUGACACACGCGCGUGCUCG
Molecule: ribosomal RNA, 774 nt
Filed under: uncultured Neocallimastigales
Lineage: Eukaryota; Fungi; Neocallimastigomycota; Neocallimastigomycetes; Neocallimastigales
Description: partial large subunit ribosomal RNA
Rfam family: Eukaryotic large subunit ribosomal RNA
Source: RNAcentral